Long non-coding RNA from Cyprinus carpio carpio, 3837 nucleotides. The record is from Ensembl. NCBI's taxonomy places the organism in Eukaryota, Metazoa, Chordata, Actinopteri, Cypriniformes, Cyprinidae.
CUGCUUUACAUCAAUACAUUUCCCUCCCCCUUCAUCCACCCCAUGCUGCUGGAAAGAUGGUAUGAGCCAGCCCACAGAAUAACUCAAUCCCGAUAGGGCCCCCCUCCCUCCACUUGGCACAUUCCACUCACUGCAGAGGGGAGUUUUAUUUAUGUAUCAAGAGACUGGUGUUCAUUGUAGCAGAAUUGCAGCGCACUGGACUGUACAGAACUGGGUAGCAUCCACACUGUCUAUGAGAGGGUGCGGUCCGGCUGCACUGAAAGCAACAACACUGACAGACAGACAGAGAGAGAGAAGGAAUAAAAAAGAAGAGGAGGGAGAGAUAUCACCACAAGAGGAAUACAGCAAGGGAUGAAAGGAGACACCCCUGUGAACAGCACCAUGAGUGUCGGUCAUGUCAGGAAGCUGGUGGAACAGCUGAAGAUUGAAGCCAGUUUUUGUCGAAUCAAGGUGUCUAAGGCAGCGGCGGACUUGAUGGCCUACUGUGACGCCCAUGCAUGUGAGGACCCUCUCAUCACCCCUGUGCCCACUUCAGAAAACCCGUUCAGGGAGAAAAAGUUCUUCUGUGCUCUGCUCUGAGCAGCACACAGGAAGGGCAGGAUUAGUCUCAUUUAGAUGAUAAUGAUUUGUGUAUGCACAUCACAAAACACAACACUCAACAAGACAUGACACAGCAAAAUAAAUCCCAAAUUAAGCUUUAAUAAAUGCAAAGUGGUUUCUGAAUUUCAGCGAUUGACAGCGCAAAGACCAAAUGUACAAAAUCAUGCUUGUGAGGAUAUUUUUAUUCUCCUGUUUUUUUGGGAAACCCUGUUCCUUUUCAUUAAGGGCACAAAAUAGAAUCAAGAUUGAUGAAACACACACUGAUACACACAUAUGCAAGCACAGUUUUUUAACCAAGCAAAAGGAAAUAGGUGUGGGUCUGGAUAUUUCAAUAAUUUCAAAUUGUAUUAUAUUCAAGACAUUCAUUAUGUUCCUCACAGCAUACCAUUGGUGAUUUACAAAUUCUGUAUGUAUAUUUUGAUCUUUUUAUGUUUUGUUUGAGGUGGCUAUGUACGCUGGUAGACUAACUGGUAGAGCUUUUAAAGUUUAGAUCAUUGUGAGAAAGUGAUACUGCUAAAACCUACACACCAGUACCACCAGUGCAUAGCACUCCUAAAGAGUCAAAUUAAAUUUAUGUCCUAAAACCAAUUUAAUUUUUCUGACCACUAAAACAAGUGGUAUCUAGUCUGGAAAUUAUCUUAAAAUAUAAAUCACUGAAGAAAAAUGUAAAGAGAAUAUCUGUUACAACUUGUGGUCCCAAGUAAUGGAUUAAAAUAAUGCAGACAGAAUCCAACGAAGGAAUGAAUAAAACUUUUAAACACAACAUACUUCAGUGUACUGCUUAUUGAGAAAAAAAAUCACUAUUGUUCAAGUUUGUGCUCAAUUUUAGUGUAAAUUUAAGAUUUUUAAUAAUCUAAAGAAAAACAGAUGCCUCUUAUUAAACUUGUUCUAACAGGUAAUUCAUCUCGUGUAACAGCAGGUUGAACUGGAUUGGUAACAUUUUUUCAUUCCACACACUCACAACACCUAUCAUUACUUUUUUUGAUAUUUUAUAGCAAAAGAAUUAAAAUGUAAAAGAUAAAAAGGUCCAAAAAUGCCAUAAUAGUUUUAGAGUAAUAAGAACAUUUAUCAGUGUUUCUUUGACCACUCAUGUAGCAUAUUAAACAUCUGGAAGCAGCAAAUGCCAACCAAGGUGUGGAUUAGGUGGCUACACUAUGCAGAAUGAAUCAGCCCACGCAUCUUCAGGUACACAUGCACAGUUAAAACAAAUCCAGAUUUUUAUUAAGGCAAUUUAAGGGUUGGGGAGCAUAAAACUACACGGCAAAAUGAUACCAUUAUGCAUCUGAUUCAACAGUGACAAGUUCACAUAAACCUUUAAAAGCUUAGAAGCACUGUGGCACAUUUUGGACAUAGUUAAAACCUUCAAAUAUCCUAAAAAGAGAGGGGGAAAGACUAUCUGUGUUAUUGUAUUCGGACUACUGGGGCAUGUAUUGCCUGCAUAUGAAUGGAUUUAUAGAUGUUUUGUCAAGAUUCAGUGUGAAUGAUGUUUGAACAACACACAAAAUAAGCAGUGAUAUUACAAGUGUACCCAUCUAAAAACCUUCUAGUGCGAUAACAAUUCCGUGCUAAGAUUUAAUAUUAAUACAUCCAAAAAUGAUGUCCGAAAAGUCGAAUUGACAGAGUGAGGUAAAUGUAUUCGGCAUACAAGUCAGCAGGGGGAGGGUGAAUAUACAACAACAAAAAGAGUCAACUACAGGAAAGAGUCACACCACUCUCUCAGACAGCUAUAACAGUCGCCUUGCUGUUUGGUGUUGGCUCCACACGUAUCCUUCAACCAUUCCCGAAACAACUCCUCAUCUUUCUUCAGGACCAGGAACUGUCCUAGAACAACAUAUGCCUAUGGGAAGAAAAAUGAAAGUAAAAGUUAAGUUUCAGUUUCAUGACAACGGAGCAUAUAUGAAACCUCUUUGUAAAUCAUACCUUGUCAAAGCCCUUCUCUUCCAAUCUCUUUCCAAGAACUUCACCGAUUCCUGCGAGAGCCAUCACAGUCUUCUCCCCCAUGGGCUCUGCCACAAAGUCCUUGUGUUUUUGUGAUGUUGACGACAUUGUUGAUUUAUAUUAGACAGGGCUGCGGGAUUUCAAGUUGACUUUCUUCAGUGGCUUAAAACAGAAAAACAUUUGUUAAAAGAUUUGAUUCCUUAAUAGCCUGAAACUAACUGUACAUGUAAAUCAAAAGAUAAAAAAAAAACCUAUUCAGCUCCUGAUACUAUUUCAGCUAUUGCUAAAAUGCAAAUGUGCCUCUCAUUUCCUCAUGUAUUAAACUGUAACACUGAGAAAGGAAAGUGAAGGUGAGCUGCGAGACUAAAGUGAAAAGCAAACGUGAAAACUACAUAUAUGUUUACUACAACCAUCAAACACGCAACAAAGAGAUAAUAGCUAAUUAAUAAAUUGUUAUUAUGAAAAGUAGUUAAGAGUAAAGUUUUCGUGAUGUACACGAGUUUUUGAGGUCCCGCCUCAUUUCUCCGCGUUCAGCGACACACAACGACAGCUGACACGCCAUUCUCUAUUCAUUUACAAAUAAUAAAAACCUACGUGCAAACACAACAGGAUGAACAGUAUUUUUAAAGAAACGUGCAUCAGAAACAUAGUUUAUAUCAUACCUGGACACUAUCAUCGAGAAAUUUCAAUCCUCAUCCGCAAGCGCCGUGCUGUUCAGAGUCUCAGUGCGCCCAAAAUAACUCACACAGCGCUGCUUCCUGAUCCCGCCUUUAGAAAGAACACGCCACUUCCGCUCUAAUCAUGCUGCUGUUCAGAGAGACACCGGCCCCUGGUGGCUCCAGCUAUUUGGUGGAAAUCAAAUACAGUGAGGAUCAAAAUUUGGGACCAAACUACAAUUUUCUAAAUUUCGAUGUCACUGCUUAAGCCUAUUUGAAGUUAUCCUAACAGGAACAAAAGCACAGUUUUUAGAGCAUAUUCUGAAGCACAGUAAUAAUGCAGAGAAUCUCAAUGGGCAAUCGGUUCAACACUGCAGCUGGAAUUGCUCGCCAGCUCAGCACUGAAGACGUUAAGGAUCUGUCUCCGCAUACAGUCUCUUAACGUUUAAGAGAUUUUGGACCUUUCCUUCCCUGCAUUCAUCCAGCAAUUUUCGUGCUCCUCAUCAUAUUCCAAAAAAGGUAAAGCAGUUCCUUGAAGCUGAAAACAUUGAAAUAAUGAAAUGGCCAACCAAGAGUCAUGGAUCUAAACCAGACUGAAAAUCUCCGGAAUCCUUGGUGACAAAGUUAUGGCUAAGAAACCCAC